GAUUAUUUGCUAGAAUGUGAUGAUGAAGUAGAAAAAUGGAGAGGUAUUUUGAGCUAGAAUGUGAGGGAGAUUGAUGUGUCAUAUAUAGUAUGCAUUAUUGCAGUGGUUUAAAAAUGAUGCUACCUUGUCUAGACGGUUUAUCUUAUCAAAUUCAAUAUGGUUUUUUAAAUUCAUACUUGUUGAACUUGCAUACCGUGUUCAUUUCUGCUAGGAUGUUCUCCGCCGAGCAGCAACAUAUGUCAAGAAGGAGGUUCGAUUCUACGAGAAAGAGUGGAUACGGACAUCGUGACCGUGUCCCCUUUUCCGUAGCAUCUAACCUCUUUCAUGACGAAGUGCGGUGCCGCCCAGCUGAGGACAUCCUCGCGAAAUGAUCACGGUCUUCAAGUUCAACAACUUCUGUAGUGGUAAGGAAAGAAUUUUUGUAC
This 425-nucleotide long non-coding RNA is filed under the name Setaria viridis. RNAcentral describes it as "long non-coding RNA (SVIR_LNC008202)". The record is from RNAcentral. Lineage: Eukaryota; Viridiplantae; Streptophyta; Magnoliopsida; Poales; Poaceae.